AGGUCUUGCCUGCCCAGUGACAAGUUAAACGGCCGCGGUAUUUUGACCGUGCGAAGGUAGCGCAAUCACUUGUCUUUUAAAUGAAGACCCGUAUGAAUGGCGGAACGAGGGCUUAACUGUCUCCCUUUUCAAGUCAAUGAAAUUGAUCUGCCCGUGCAGAAGCGGACAUAUAAAUACAAGACGAGAAGACCCUUUGGAGCUUAAGAUACAAGAUCAACUACGUCAAGGGCCCUUAAAUUUAAGCCAAACUAAGUAACAUCUGAUCUAUAUCUUCGGUUGGGGCGACCACGGGAGAAAACAAAGCUCCCAUGCGGACCGGGGUUAUAACCCUAAAACCAAGAAAGACAUUUCUAAGUCACAGAACAUCUGACCACAAAGAUCCGGUCUACCGGCCGAUCAGCGGACCAAGUUACCCUAGGGAUAACAGCGCAAUCCCCUUUCAGAGUCCAUAUCGACAAGGGGGUUUACGACCUCGAUGUUGGAUCAGGACAUCCUAAUGGUGCAGCCGCUAUUAAGGGUUCGUUUGUUCAACGAUUAAAGUCCUACGUG
This 549-nucleotide ribosomal RNA is filed under the name Rhinodoras sp. Xingu. RNAcentral's name for it is "partial large subunit ribosomal RNA". It matches the Rfam family "Bacterial large subunit ribosomal RNA", at positions 1850 to 2602 of the family's 2925-position model. The record is from RNAcentral. Lineage: Eukaryota; Metazoa; Chordata; Actinopteri; Siluriformes; Doradidae.